GCACUGCUGAGGAGUCCCACAAUAGGACAAAACGGCCGUCCAAUGC
This is a non-coding RNA of Schistosoma margrebowiei, 46 nucleotides long. Lineage: Eukaryota; Metazoa; Platyhelminthes; Trematoda; Strigeidida; Schistosomatidae. The record is from Rfam.